GACGAACGCUGGCGGCGUGCUUAACACAUGCAAGUCGAACGGUAAGGCCCUUCGGGUACACGAGUGGCGAACGGGUGGGUAACACGUGGGUGAUCUGCCCUGCACUUCGGGAUAAGCCUGGGAAACUGGGUCUAAUACCGGAUAGGACUCCUGGCUUCAUGGUUGGGGGUGGAAAGCUUUUGCGGUGUGGGAUGGGCCCGCGGCCUAUCAGCUUGUUGGUGGGGUAAUGGCCUACCAAGGCGACGACGGGUAGCCGGCCUGAGAGGGUGACCGGUCACACUGGGACUGAGAUACGGCCCAGACUCCUACGGGAGGCAGCAGUGGGGAAUAUUGCACAAUGGGCGCAAGCCUGAUGCAGCGACGCCGCGUGAGGGAUGACGGCCUUCGGGUUGUAAACCUCUUUCAGCUAUGACGAAGCGCAAGUGACGGUAGUAGCAGAAGAAGGACCGGCCAACUACGUGCCAGCCGCCGCGGUAA
RNAcentral lists this ribosomal RNA (477 nucleotides) under uncultured bacterium. RNAcentral describes it as "partial 16S ribosomal RNA". It matches the Rfam family "Bacterial small subunit ribosomal RNA", at positions 28 to 523 of the family's 1533-position model. The record is from RNAcentral.